UGGGGAAUAUUGCACAAUGGAGGGAACUCUGAUGCAGCGACGCCGCGUGAGUGAUGAAGGAAUUCGUUUCGUAAAACUCUGUUCUAUGGGAAGAAAAGGACUGUACCAUAGGAGAAAGCUCCGGCUAAAUACGUGCCAGCAGCCGCGGUAAUACGUAUGGAGCGAGCGUUGUCCGGAAUUAUUGGGCGUAAAGGGUGCGCAGGCGGCUUUACAAGUUGGAUGUGAAAUAUUGUGGCUCAACCACAAACGUGCAUCCAAAACUGCAAAGCUUGAGUUAAGGAGAGGUAAGUGGAAUUCCUGGUGUAGCGGUGGAAUGCGUAGAUAUCAGGAGGAAUACCGGUGGCGAAGGCGACUUACUGGACUUAAACUGACGCUAAGGCACGAAAGCGUGAGGAGCAAACAGG
RNAcentral lists this ribosomal RNA (404 nucleotides) under Fusobacteriota bacterium. RNAcentral's name for it is "Fusobacteria bacterium partial 16S ribosomal RNA". It matches the Rfam family "Bacterial small subunit ribosomal RNA", at positions 355 to 776 of the family's 1533-position model. Lineage: Bacteria; Fusobacteriati; Fusobacteriota. The record is from RNAcentral.